UACGGAGGGGGCUAGCGUUGUUCGGAAUUACUGGGCGUAAAGCGCGCGUAGGCGGACCUGCAAGUCGGGGGUGAAAGCCCGAGGCUCAACCUCGGAACUGCCUUCGAUACUGCGGGUCUCGAGUCCGGGAGAAGUGAGUGGAAUUCCUAGUGUAGAGGUGAAAUUCGUAGAUAUUAGGAAGAACACCAGUGGCGAAGGCGGCUCACUGGUCCGGUACUGACGCUGAGGUGCGAAAGCGUGGGGAGCAAACAGG
This 253-nucleotide ribosomal RNA is filed under the name uncultured bacterium. RNAcentral's name for it is "partial 16S ribosomal RNA". It matches the Rfam family "Bacterial small subunit ribosomal RNA", at positions 524 to 776 of the family's 1533-position model. The record is from RNAcentral.